GUAGGACGUGUCGGCUGCU
This 19-nucleotide small RNA is filed under the name Arabidopsis thaliana (thale cress). Its description in RNAcentral is "Ath_wt_01932". The record is from RNAcentral. Lineage: Eukaryota; Viridiplantae; Streptophyta; Magnoliopsida; Brassicales; Brassicaceae.